GCCACAAUAAGAGAGUCUCAACGGAGCCUGGAAAAACACUGAGGGGGAUGAAAGAAGAGGAGGGAGGGAAUAAAGGAGGGAGGAGAACUGACAGCACUACUUCCAGACCCUCAGAUAGACAGUGGAUCUCUUGGGACCAACAGUUGAAAAUCUUUCUCUCACUCUCCUUUUCUCUUUCUUUCACUCUCUCGCUCUCUCUCUCUCCCUCUCUCUCCUGUUACUCUGCUGUAAGUGGACGAGCUGGGGCUAUGCAUCUCCAGAGUGAUUCAUUCGGUUGAAGAAAGGAGACAAAACUACGCUAGCUGCCAGUCACCAGCCAGAGGGGUGUGUUAACUAGCUCCAAGUCUGACCUCUCCUCUGCUCUCCUCUUCUCUCCUCUUCUCUGUGGGAAACCGAACACAGGAUAGGACAACCCUUCUCUCUCUCUCAUCUCCUCUCCUCUCCACCACUCCACCACUGUGGGAACUGGGAACAAGACCGGUAUAGCCCCCUCUCUACGCCCUCAAAAGAGACCUCGGCACAGGACAGACUGAGCUUCUGCUGCUGGAUCUGAAAUAGCACAUUCCUUAGAGCAGUCUUCCCAGAAGGAACUCCUCCACUGACUGCUCCACUCCUCAGCUGAACUCAGUCCGCUCCACGCGGCACUGCUGGAUCUGGGAGCAUGGGUGGGUCUGACUGGGAGCAGCCUGAGGACACAGGUGGACCACAGUUGGGGAGACAUCUGGAGGCCGCACAGCCACUGGCCAGGGACGGGCAACCGGCACAGCUUGCUACCAGUCUGGCUGUGGUGGGGAGGGUUCCUGGUACCGUGAUUUGGUGCACAAACAUAAACGAAAAUCACAUUGCCAGGGAUUUCCACCCUUUCACAUGUAGUUCUCCAGGUGGGGUCUAUAUGUUCUGCCCGUCAGGAGGACUUUCAUGUCUGUCUUCUGUCUUGGCCCUAUGUGGUCUAUGGAAACAAUAACAUGUCAAAUAUUAGAGCGAGUGGAUAGGAAGGUUGAAUGUCAGGAAGUUCAACUCCAGAUAUAAGCUGUUCUUAGCUCUCACAGUGAUUUACAGAUUACCUCCUGGUAUUAGCUCCUUACAAACAAAACCCCAAACAACAAACAACUUUCCCCUGUGGAAAGCGUUUUUAUUCCUCUAAAGCUGCAGAUGAGAGUACAACCUGAAAUCCAAACUGUUCUUUACAAAUGGCCAGGAAGUAAAUCCAAUGCAUUUGAAAGCAGGCCAGGUUUACACAAUGUAUCAUAUUUUGGGUAAAGAUCAUGUAUCACCUUUAGGAAUGCACAAUGACAUACAGCUUUAGAACUAAGGAGAUUGUCUGCAGACUCUCUGUUUGAACUGUAGGAAACUGAUUCUACUUAGGCAGCCUUUGCUUAUAGACUUAAGGAGUGGUUAGAUUUAAAGAACAAAGAGUGUUUUACCAUCUAUAGAAGUCUAUAAAGUACCUAUAGAUUUAGAGCAGCCAUACUCAACAGGCGGACCGCGGUCCGGAUUUGGACCCAGAACGGGGUCAAUACAGACCACGGGUCACAACAAUUAGUUUUUUAUAAAAGGGGCGCUAGAGUGGUUGUCUACUAUGGACAUAUGGAAAUUAUCUAGAGAAUAUUAAAAUUGAAAGCUGACCCCUGGUAACAUUCGGGAUUUGCUAUUUUUCAUGGUUCUAGGUCUAUUUUCAAGCAUUUUGAACAAUUAGCUUUUUGGGAGCCAAAUAAUGCUGCUCUUUUACGUGAAUGGAGUCAAAAGAUGCGGCUCCCGGAAAAGACUCAGAAGGCCCAUAACUAAUAUGAACACACAUAAGACAUGGUAAAAUGUGUAGAAUUGCAGAACAUUUGUUUAAAACUCACGCCAACAAGAGGAGCAUGUACAGUUUGAACAGUUUGGGGUCACAUGGGUUGUGAGGUGGCAAUUUCUUACGACACCGAUAACUCACAAUAUCCAUCAAGACCUUUGCAACCUAGGAAAUGUGUGUGAUCGGUCCUUUUCAAAUAGAACCCCUGCUAUAGACGAAUCAAUUAAAGUUUCUCCCAACUGUC
Salvelinus fontinalis (brook trout) is the source of this 2036-nucleotide long non-coding RNA. RefSeq lists it as uncharacterized. The record is from RefSeq and is a predicted model, not a curated record. The transcript is spliced from 2 exons. Lineage: Eukaryota; Metazoa; Chordata; Actinopteri; Salmoniformes; Salmonidae.